UUCCGGUUGAUCCUGCCGGACCCGACUGCUAUCAGAGUGGGACUAAGCCAUGCGAGUCAACAUAGCAAUAUGUGGCAUACGGCUCAGUAACACGUAGUCAACAUGCCCAGGGGACGUGGAUAACCUCGGGAAACUGAGGAUAAACCGCGAUAAGUCACUACUUCUGGAAUGGGUAAUGACUCAAAUCUAUAUGGCCCCUGGAUUGGACCGCGGCCGAUCAGGCUGUUGGUGAGGUAAUGGCCCACCAAACCUGUAACCGGUACGGGCUCUGAGAGGAGGAGCCCGGAGAUGGGCACUGAGACAAGGCCCCAGGCCCUAUGGGGCGCAGCAGGCGCGAAACCUCUGCAAUAG
RNAcentral lists this ribosomal RNA (351 nucleotides) under uncultured archaeon. Its description in RNAcentral is "bacterial SSU rRNA". It matches the Rfam family "Archaeal small subunit ribosomal RNA", at positions 1 to 358 of the family's 1478-position model. The record is from RNAcentral.